Molecule: long non-coding RNA, 1989 nt
Filed under: Sus scrofa (pig)
Lineage: Eukaryota; Metazoa; Chordata; Mammalia; Artiodactyla; Suidae
Description: lncRNA (ENSSSCG00045004737.1)
Source: RNAcentral
CUUUUGGAGUGAGAAAGAAAGGAACAUCCCUGGAUUGUGCCCCUACCAUGUGCCACAGACCAGCUGCUAGAAGUGCAUUAUCUCAUCUAUGGAUGAUGUGGUACCAGCUGAGAGCAUCCUUCUGGCUGGUACCCUUGGCCCUCGGACACUGCGAGAUGAUAGGAGAACAAUGCCUGAGCCUGCUUUUCCACUUCAGCAGCCAGUCUUCCGGCCCAGCAAAUGAAAUAGCAGGUGGGUAGGCUUCUUUGGGGGCAUAUGAGAACUCUCUGGUCUAUAUUUUUAGUAUCACCUUAGGAACUUGGCACCUUGUUCCCUGCAGCCAGGUUGGUUUGACUUGGCAGGAAGGGAGGGAUGCUUGGGAAAGCACUCCCUGUUCACUGAGCCAAACCCUCAGAAGUCUCUUGAGCAGUAUUGGGGAGUGGCAGGAACUUAGAAAGAGGCUGGCUGGCUGACAACAAUAAGUGACGGCAUCUGUGGCAUGAUUUUACUGAUGCCAGGAAGUUCCCCUACUCCACGAUAUUCCACCCACACAGUCUAUCUUAUUUCCCUCCAUUGACUCAACUAAAUUCCAUUCAAUAUCGAUUAAGCAUGGUUAUGGACCAAGGCACUAUACUAUGUACUUGGAGGUUAAGAGACAUGAGUAAGUAUAAUUGCUAAGGCUUAGUGAAUGCUUAUCAUGUUCCAGGCACUAUUCUAGGCCACUUUGCCUAAAUACUCUCAUAUAACACCCACAAACCCUGUGAGGGAAUAACUAUCACUGUUUCCAUUUCACAGAUGAGAAAACUGAGACCAAGUCUAAGGUCGGUAAAUAACAGUGUGAGGAUUAAAACGUACAGUCUAACUGUAGAAUCAGGAUUCAUUAUGUGAAUGAUUCAGCAACUGCCCUAAUUAUCUUACUAUGUAGUUGGGAGAUAAAGACAUAUGAAAGUUGAAAGAUGACUAAAAAAGACAAGAGAAUUUUUGUGUCAGAUAUGUGUUCUGGGUAAUACAUUCAAUGAAGGGCUCGGAGGAUGAGGAAUCACUUUAGGUUGGAGUCGGAAGGAAUUCAUACAGAUGAUUCUGGGCUCCAUAGGGGUAGAUUUAAGCUGGAUAAUGAAGAUGGAUCAUAUUCUGACCAGCAGAGAGGAUAAAGAAGGGCAUGUGAGUAGAACAAGAAGCCUAGAAAAAUAGAAUGCCAGGGACAUUUGGAAAGUAGAGAUAAAAACAGCGGGAGAGGAAAAGGGGGGUCAAAUUGCAAGGAGAUUUGCAAAUGAGAGCCGGAGAAAGAGAGCCAGAAACAGAGACAGACAGACAGACCUAGACAGAGAGGGUUUGAGUUCGCUGUAGCCUGUCUACAGUGGGGAACGCGUGAAGGGUUUUGACGAGAAGGUAACAUGGAGAACACUCCUGAUUUACCAACAUCGCUCUUGUAUUGGUUAUUGGCUGGUUUGGGAAGGGAAAGGACUGAAGUAGAGAAACAGUGUGUAGGCCAAUAUGGGUGAAUGGACGUGGCAUAAGGAAGAAAUCGUGAGGAAGGAAAAGAAGGGACCAGUUAGUGAGACAUCGUGACUUAAAAAUCUCUGAGGCUUUGUCAAUGAUUGGAUGUACUGGAUGGAGAAGAACUUAAGAAAAGGGAGAAGUUCCAGAUGACUUAGGGGGCGUGAAUGCGAAACCUGUAAUAUCACUGACUGGUAAAAAAGGGAAGUCUCGGGGUAGAGGAACUACUUUUUUUGAGCAAACGUUUAGAAUGGUUUGGUUUUAGGCAUGUAUUUGUGGUAACAGUGGGGAUAUGCCUGUGGAUAUAUUUCAUAGUAUUAUCUAGAAAAGGCAAAGAGGUGGGUAAAUGAGGUUUUUAUCUGCUAUUGAGAAAGAAGGUAUGAACGUUUAAAAUGGUCACAUGUGAUAACAAUAACCAAGCAUGGUUUUCUUCUAAAAUACAACCAGAGUUGACAAAAUUUCUAACAAAAAUAAGUUUCUAUGGCUCUGAGAUAGAUGACCAUUAGGGAAUUC